GGGGAAUCUUGCGCAAUGGGCGAAAGCCUGACGCAGCGACGCCGCGUGCGGGAUGAAGGCCCUCGGGUUGUAAACCGCUUUCAGCAGGGACGAAAUUGACGGUACCUGCAGAAGAAGCUCCGGCCAACCACGUGCCAGCAGCCGCGGUAAGACGUAGGGAGCGAGCGUUGUCCGGAUUUAUUGGGCGUAAAGGGCUCCUAGGUGGUUCAGUAAGUCGACUGUGAAAAUCCAAGGCUCAACCUUGGGACGCCAGUCGAUACUGCUGUGACUUGAGUUCGGUAGAGGAGUGUGGAAUUUCUGGUGUAGCGGUGAAAUGCGCAGAUAUCAGAAGGAACACCAACGGCGAAGGCAGCACUCUGGGCCGAUACUGACACUGAAGAGCGAAAGCGUGGGGAGCAAAC
RNAcentral lists this ribosomal RNA (401 nucleotides) under uncultured bacterium. RNAcentral describes it as "bacterial SSU rRNA". It matches the Rfam family "Bacterial small subunit ribosomal RNA", at positions 356 to 773 of the family's 1533-position model. The record is from RNAcentral.